This 441-nucleotide ribosomal RNA is filed under the name uncultured bacterium. RNAcentral describes it as "partial 16S ribosomal RNA". It matches the Rfam family "Bacterial small subunit ribosomal RNA", at positions 338 to 795 of the family's 1533-position model. The record is from RNAcentral.
CCUACGGGAGGCAGCAGUGGGGAAUAUUGCGCAAUGGGGGCAACCCUGACGCAGCAACGCCGCGUGAUUGAAGACGGCCUUCGGGUUGUAAAGAUCUUUAAUCGGGGACGAAUUUUGACGGUACCCGAAGAAUAAGCUCCGGCUAACUACGUGCCAGCAGCCGCGGUAAUACGUAGGGAGCAAGCGUUAUCCGGAUUUACUGGGUGUAAAGGGCGUGUAGGCGGGCAUGCAAGCCAGAAGUGAAAUCUGGGGGCUUAACCCCCAAACUGCUUUUGGAACUGCGGGUCUUGAGUGAUGGAGAGGCAGGCGGAAUUCCCAGUGUAGCGGUGAAAUGCGUAGAUAUAAGGAAGAACACCAGUGGCGAAGGCGGAUGACUGGACGGCAACUGACGGUGAGGCGCGAAAGCGUGGGGAGCAAACAGGAUUAGAUACCCCAGUAGUC